This 276-nucleotide ribosomal RNA is filed under the name uncultured prokaryote. RNAcentral's name for it is "partial 16S ribosomal RNA". It matches the Rfam family "Bacterial small subunit ribosomal RNA", at positions 524 to 800 of the family's 1533-position model. The record is from RNAcentral.
GACGAACCGUCCUAACGUUAUUCGGAAUUACUGGGCUUAAAGGGUGCGUAGGCGGCCCUGUAAGUUGGGUGUGAAAUCCCUCGGCUCAACCGAGGAAUUGCGCCCAAUACUGCAGGGCUAGAGGAAGAUAGAGGUGAGCGGAACUUGUGGUGGAGCGGUGAAAUGCGUUGAUAUCACAAGGAACACCUGUGGCGAAAGCGGCUCACUGGGUCUUUCUGACGCUGAGGCACGAAAGCUGGGGGAGCGAACGGGAUUAGAUACCCGCGUAGUCCCUGA